UCGGAUUGUAGUCUGCAACCGACACAUGAAGCUGGAAUCGCUAGUAAUCGCGGAUCAGAAUGCCGCGGUGAAUACGUUCCCGGGUCUUGUACACACCGCCCGUCACACCAUGGGAGUCGGAAAUGCCCGAAGUCUGUGACCCAACCUGAGAGGGAGGGAGCAGCCGAAGGCAGGUCUGAUGACUGGGGUGAAGUCGUAACAAGGUAAC
Molecule: ribosomal RNA, 208 nt
Filed under: uncultured bacterium
Lineage: Bacteria
Description: partial 16S ribosomal RNA
Rfam family: Bacterial small subunit ribosomal RNA
Source: RNAcentral